This 301-nucleotide ribosomal RNA is filed under the name uncultured bacterium. Its description in RNAcentral is "partial 16S ribosomal RNA". It matches the Rfam family "Bacterial small subunit ribosomal RNA", at positions 512 to 810 of the family's 1533-position model. The record is from RNAcentral.
CAGUCGCGGUAAUACGAAGGGUGCAAGCGUUAAUCGGAAUUACUGGGCGUAAAGCGUGCGUAGGCGGUUUGUUAAGUCUGUUGUGAAAUCCCCGGGCUCAACCUGGGAAUGGCAAUGGAUACUGGCAAGCUAGAGUGUGUCAGAGGAUGGUGGAAUUCCCGGUGUAGCGGUGAAAUGCGUAGAGAUCGGGAGGAACAUCAGUGGCGAAGGCGGCCAUCUGGGACAACACUGACGCUCAUGCACGAAAGCGUGGGGAGCAAACAGGAUUAGAUACCCCGGUAGUCCCUGUCUCUUAUACACA